RNAcentral lists this ribosomal RNA (1399 nucleotides) under Escherichia coli. Its description in RNAcentral is "bacterial LSU rRNA". It matches the Rfam family "Bacterial large subunit ribosomal RNA", at positions 1541 to 2916 of the family's 2925-position model. RNAcentral also lists the same sequence under 1 other name. The record is from RNAcentral. Lineage: Bacteria; Pseudomonadati; Pseudomonadota; Gammaproteobacteria; Enterobacterales; Enterobacteriaceae.
UCCGGAAAAUCAAGGCUGAGGCGUGAUGACGAGGCACUACGGUGCUGAAGCAACAAAUGCCCUGCUUCCAGGAAAAGCCUCUAAGCAUCAGGUAACAUCAAAUCGUACCCCAAACCGACACAGGUGGUCAGGUAGAGAAUACCAAGGCGCUUGAGAGAACUCGGGUGAAGGAACUAGGCAAAAUGGUGCCGUAACUUCGGGAGAAGGCACGCUGAUAUGUAGGUGAAGUCCCUCGCGGAUGGAGCUGAAAUCAGUCGAAGAUACCAGCUGGCUGCAACUGUUUAUUAAAAACACAGCACUGUGCAAACACGAAAGUGGACGUAUACGGUGUGACGCCUGCCCGGUGCCGGAAGGUUAAUUGAUGGGGUCAGCGCAAGCGAAGCUCUUGAUCGAAGCCCCGGUAAACGGCGGCCGUAACUAUAACGGUCCUAAGGUAGCGAAAUUCCUUGUCGGGUAAGUUCCGACCUGCACGAAUGGCGUAAUGAUGGCCAGGCUGUCUCCACCCGAGACUCAGUGAAAUUGAACUCGCUGUGAAGAUGCAGUGUACCCGCGGCAAGACGGAAAGACCCCGUGAACCUUUACUAUAGCUUGACACUGAACAUUGAGCCUUGAUGUGUAGGAUAGGUGGGAGGCUUUGAAGUGUGGACGCCAGUCUGCAUGGAGCCGGCCUUGAAAUACCACCCUUUAAUGUUUGAUGUUCUAACGUUGACCCGUUAUCCGGGUUGCGGACAGUGUCUGGUGGGUAGUUUGACUGGGGCGGUCUCCUCCUAAAGAGUAACGGAGGAGCACGAAGGUUGGCUAAUCCUGGUCGGACAUCAGGAGGUUAGUGCAAUGGCAUAAGCCAGCUUGACUGCGAGCGUGACGGCGCGAGCAGGUGCGAAAGCAGGUCAUAGUGAUCCGGUGGUUCUGAAUGGAAGGGCCAUCGCUCAACGGAUAAAAGGUACUCCGGGGAUAACAGGCUGAUACCGCCCAAGAGUUCAUAUCGACGGCGGUGUUUGGCACCUCGAUGUCGGCUCAUCACAUCCUGGGGCUGAAGUAGGUCCCAAGGGUAUGGCUGUUCGCCAUUUAAAGUGGUACGCGAGCUGGGUUUAGAACGUCGUGAGACAGUUCGGUCCCUAUCUGCCGUGGGCGCUGGAGAACUGAGGGGGGCUGCUCCUAGUACGAGAGGACCGGAGUGGACGCAUCACUGGUGUUCGGGUUGUCAUGCCAAUGGCACUGCCCGGUAGCUAAAUGCGGAAGAGAUAAGUGCUGAAAGCAUCUAAGCACGAAACUUGCCCCGAGAUGAGUUCUCCCUGACUCCUUGAGAGUCCUGAAGGAACGUUGAAGACGACGACGUUGAUAGGCCGGGUGUGUAAGCGCAGCGAUGCGUUGAGCUAACCGGUACUAAUGAACCGUGAGG